AUUGAACGCUGGCGGCAGGCCUAACACAUGCAAGUCGAGCGGUAACACAAGGGAGCUUGCUCCUGAGGUGACGAGCGGCGGACGGGUGAGUAAUGCCUAGGUAUCUGCCCAGUCGAGGGGGAUAACAGUUGGAAACGACUGCUAAUACCGCAUACGCCCUACGGGGGAAAGGAGGGGACCUUCGGGCCUUCCGCGAUUGGAUGAACCUAGGUGGGAUUAGCUAGUUGGUGAGGUAAUGGCUCACCAAGGCGACGAUCCCUAGCUGGUCUGAGAGGAUGAUCAGCCACACUGGAACUGAGACACGGUCCAGACUCCUACGGGAGGCAGCAGUGGGGAAUAUUGCACAAUGGGCGAAAGCCUGAUGCAGCCAUGCCGCGUGUGUGAAGAAGGCCUUCGGGUUGUAAAGCACUUUCAGCGAGGAGGAAAGGUUAGGUCUUAAUACGGCCUAGCUGUGACGUUACUCGCAGAAGAAGCACCGGCUAACUUCGUC
Molecule: ribosomal RNA, 490 nt
Filed under: uncultured bacterium
Lineage: Bacteria
Description: bacterial SSU rRNA
Rfam family: Bacterial small subunit ribosomal RNA
Source: RNAcentral